UUGUUGGAUCGUGAUCCGAGGCUAUAGGGGGGGUGAUAGCCUCUUUUCGAUUUAUACAGGUUGAUAGCGGAAUUACCUGUAAAUACUCAAUAAACAAAUGGUUGAACAGUAAUGAUAUAAAGAUAUUAUUAUUAAUAAUAAUGUAAGUAUUACUCUUUGAAGCUUACUACAGUAUAUGAAUACUGAGUCAACUUUCUUGAUAAUGUUUCAAACACAACUAUAGUAUAUGAAUACUAAGUUAUAUUUAAAACACAAAUUGUAUUGUAGAGUAAAUGACCAGAUAACUGGAUAAAUUGAUGCGUAAAUAAAUGACCAGAUAACUGGAUAUAUUGACAAGUAAGUAAGUGACCAGAUAACUGGAUAAUUUGACAAACAAGUAAGUGACCAGAUAACUGGAUAAAUAUGAUAAGUAAAAUAUAAGGAUUUAAAACAAUGAAUGUAACCUCAGAUAGUUGACCAGAUAACUGGAUGAGGGAUCUGCGUAAAGUAGUCAACCUCUGUUCUUGACCAGAUAACUGGAAGAGGGAUCUUUUUAAUUAGGUGUUGUUUUUAAGCAAAAGAUAGAACUAAAAUUAACAGAGAACAACACAAGAGAUUUAUACUGGUUCACCCAAACACGGGCUAGUCCAGUCCCGACCCACUGCCGGAUUUCACUCGCCUAAAGGUAAUGGCAAAACCUUUUCUAAGCUUUAAGGCUACUACGCUUAGGAACCAGUCUUUUACGGGUAGACUCACACCUUAGAGUAUUACAGGGCACUCUUAAGAACCUCUAACUUUUACGGGUAAGUUAGUACCUUAGAGUAUUCAAGGAACUCUUAAAAACCUUUCUAAGCUUUAAGGCUACUACGCUUAGGAACCAGUCUUUUACGGGUAGACUCACACCUUAGAGUAUUACAGGGCACUCUUAAGAACCUCUCUAAGCUUUAAGGCUACUUCGCUUAGGAACCAGUCUUUUAUAGGUAGACUCACACCUAAGAGUUUUCCCGGGAACUCUAUAAAACCAAACAGAGCUUUAUGGUUGAGCUCACAAACCUUUCCUCACACUUUGGUACUAUUGAGACAACCCUCUCAACCAAAGUGGACACACACAAGAGGUGAUUAGAGGAGUGGAAUAUCAAAGCAAACAACACUUCUUACUUGUACAAAUGAACAAGAAGAUUAGAAGAAGAAUUUGGAAAGCUUUUGAAGCUUUGGAAAGCUAGGACACUUGAGAACUUGGAAGCUUGGAAGCUUGAUGGCAAAAACGUGUGGACAAGUGUGGAGUGGAAGCUCUUGAGUUUGCUUAUGGUGUGGUGAGUGGAAAUGAGGGGAUUACCCUUCUAUUUAUAGCCUUGGCCACUCAAUGUCCAUCCUUGGAUCUUCAAUGGAUGGCUCCUUGAUUUCUCACAUAAAUCCAAGAUUUGUCUUUGAAUAGUGUUUGCCUUGGAUAGUAUUGUGUCUCCUUGUCUUUGUUGGAGAAAUUCAAAUCUUUGUAAAUUCAAACUUGAAUAGAGAAUUUUACCGUUGUAGGAGAAUUCUUUUCUUUGUAAAUUCAAACUUGAAUAGUGUUUUGUCUCCUUGUCUUUGUUGGAGAAUCUUAUCUUUGUAAAUUCAAACUUGAAUAGAGAAUUUUGUCUCCUUGGAAUAUUAUACCUUGAAUAAAGUGUCACAAGAUAAUAAUAAUAAUAUGCAAGGUAAAAUGCAAUUAUUCCAAAUAAUAUUCAAGGUGAAAAUGCAAUUCUCCCAAUUAAUAUAUUCAAGAUGAAAAUGCAAUUCUCCCAAUUAAUAAUAUUCAAGAUGAAAAUGCAAUUCUCCCAAUUAAUAAUAUUCAAGAUGAAAAUGCAAUUCUCCAAAUUUGACUUUUAACUUUGACUUAAACCCUUAACUCAAAUGAUUAAUUAAUUAACUAGAGUUAGGUUUAAUAUCUAUUGACUUAUUUAACCCCUAUUGAUUAAUAGUGUAAUUAGGGUUUAAAUUGACAUGAUUAAAAUAUAAUCCUAUGUCGAAAAUUUUGAUUCUACAUUCUCCCCCUUUGUCGAUGGCAUAUAUGUUUUAACUCAUGUCUAGUCAAUAUUCUAUUUUACCCUUAUGAGCAUGCUCCCCCUGAAUUAUUGGCCCGUAAUAUUCAAUUUAAAACCAGUGGAUCAUGCAUGAUUUCUCCCCUUUAAAACAAUAAGGUAUCGACAAAGUUAAAAAUAGAUACCUGUGAAGUAUCUCCCCCUUAAUGAUAGAACAUAUCUAAUUUGUGGAGAAAAUAAAAUUUCAUACCUCAUUGAGCUUUUAUCACAAAUUUGAUUUGUGUGGUUGACCAAAUGUGACGUCUUGCUUAUAAGAGUGUUAGUCAAUCAUAAAGGAGAAAUAACAUGUAAUUUAUGCUCAUUGAUAAAAUAUUGAAGCCAAUUUUGAUAUACAUUAUAAGGCAAGUAUGAUAUGAUAAUUUAGAUUGCCUUGUGCUAAGAUCAUGCAAUGAAUAAUAAUCCAUGUGUGUGUUAUGGAUGAAGAUGAUCUUAACAUGUAUGGAUUAAAGAUUUUAUAAUGUUAUAAUCCAUAAGAUAUUAGUGAAUAAUAUUCACUAAUUGCUUUAAGGAAAAAUUGAGCAUUUAAAAUUUUAAAAUCUAUGUCUUAGUGACAAAUAUAAUCAUGUAAAUAUUCACUAAGUUUUAAAAUUUUCAUUUCAGUCCUUAAAGCCUUAGUAGUAAAACUUCACUUAAAAUAAAAUUUCAUAAAUACUUAGAUUAAUACUUGAAAUAUUUCAUGUAAACCUUGAAAGUAUUAACCAAUUUUAAGCAUUGAAAACUUUAUGUAAAUAUUAAUUUUGAGUCCCUGAAGUGUUCACUAAAUAUUUACUGUAAAAUAUCCUUUGAACCCUUAAUGAAUAACUUCAUAGAUAAUUUAAUCUCUUUGAAGUUAUACUUAGAUUAAUACUUUAAAAUAUUAUUUUAAACCUUGGAAGUAUUGAAUAUUUCUAAGUAAUUUUUCUGAUUAAAACUUCAUGUAAAUAUUGAUUCUAAGUCCCUGAAGUUUUAAAUAUAUAUUCACUGAAAAAUAUAAUUUUAAUCCUUGACCUUUCAGUGAGUUAUUUAAACAUAGAAACUUCACAAAUGAUUUUCAUUUAAGUCCCUGAAGUUUUAUAUAUAUAUUCACUGAAAAAUAUAAUUUUAAUCCUUGACCUUUCAGUGAGUUAUUUUAAACUUAGAAACUUCACAAAUGAUUUUCAUUUAAGUCCCUGAAGUUUUAUAUUCACUAAAAAUAUAGCUUUAAUCCUUAAACUUUUAGUGAAUUAUUUUAAACCUAGAAACUUCACAAAUGAUUUUCAUUUAAGUCCCUGAAGUUUCACUGGAAAAUAUAUCUUUAAUCCUUAAGCUUUCAGAAACUUCAAACAUAAUUUAUGUUUAAGCCCUUGAAGUUUCAUAGAAUUUUAUAUUUACUGAAAUAUACCUUUUAACCCUUAAAUUUUCAGUAAAUCUUUUUAAACUUCAAAAAUAUUUUAUGUUUAAUCCCUUGAAGUUUAAAGUUGAUUAAUACUUCAAAAUAAUUUUAAUUAUGCCCUAAAGUAUUAACCAAAGAUCCAUGCAACCCUUAAGUUUUUGAUUUCUAACAUUAUGUUUUUCUUUAUGCAUGCAUACCCUUAUGUUGAUAAACUUAUAGAACUUCUUCCAUUUCAACAAAGGAGGUGAUACAUUACUAGAUUAAUCUCAUAUUCAAUGAGACUACGAUCCAUGAAUGGAUCUCCAAAAUAGCAGAAAAACAAGAUUAAGUACUCAAAAUAUCAAAACAAACUUCUUAGGGCAAAAGUAGUUCAGUCAUGGUGGUGCAUGGUUGGAAUGACCUUGGAGCUAAACUCGUGAAAUAGAGUUGCAAGCUCCAGGUUGUACUCCCUUUCAUCAUCUAGCUGUUGCCUUGUCAAAGAAACCAUCUCUUCCAGAUCUCCCAUUCCUUUCUCCAGCAUCCUUACUUGAUGUCUAACUCUUAUGACUUCUUCAUUCAGAAACACAUUAGUGUUUGGUGAGUUUGGAUCAUAGGUGUUCCUCCAAGUCUUUUGGAAAGAGCUUGCAGUGAAUGGCUGGAUGUGAGAUAUGAUAGGAUGAGGAUAGAGUGGAAUUCCAAAGUACCCUGGACUGAGUAAUUUUGAAAUCAUCCUUGGGUAGUAACGAGCUCCAGUGUUCUUGUGCAUGAUUAGUGACACCCAGUUCACUCUAAUUUUUGACAGCAGACAGUAGAUUGCUACUAAGAUAGAUGUUGAUGGUUCUUCUCUAUCUUCAACUUGAGGAUAAAUGUUGUAUGAGAUGAUCUUCAGAAAAAUUGAAGCUUCUGGUAUGAGCAUUGUCUUUAGGAUUCUAUCAGUGCUCUUAGGGUUGUACCUGUGAGUGAGAGUGUUCCAGAGAAUCUCCCAGCUGCACUUGAAAGGUAGCUCAUCCAGCCUUCUGUAAUUUUGAAGCUUCACUCCAUUGUUGGGCAGGUUUAUCCAUAGUCCAAGUUUAUCACCUCCUAGAAUGAGAGGUAUUCCAUUUAUUGUGGUGGUAAUCACUUGAGAACCUGCUGCUUCAUAUUUGAGAUUGGCAUAGAACUGAGCCAACUCAGAUUUGUAGAUUCUGAGUUGCCCUAUAUUCUCAAGAUAGUCAGUAAGCCUAUUGAAGUUCAGUAGCCCUUCAAUCACCCUGCAGUUGAGAGAUCUAAGUAUAACAGGUUCCUCAAAGAUCAUUCUUUGCUCGAGAAUGAGAUCAUAGGAGAACUUAGCUACUGAAGAGAUCCAAGUUGGUGUUCCCCGGAACAUUUCUGACACUGGAAUCUUCCUGGAGCGUUUCUUCCGGAUGACAUUGCUGCUUGAGGGAUUAGGGUUGUAUACUGGACUGGAAGGAUGGUCUGGAAUAAUUGUGAGCUCCUUCUUCUCUGGAUUGAUUUCUUCAAUCAACAUCCUUGGGUGUAUCUUAAGAUGGAAGAAGAUGAUAUAGUUGUUUAUCUUCCUGUCCUUAUAUAGUGAAUUGAUUCACCUCAAGCUUAUCUAUAUGGUCUGUCCCGAUUUUUAUGGACUGUCAUUACUUGUGGAGUUACAAGUAAUGAAAACAUCUUUAAGUCAUGCCUAAGAUUAGCAGCUUUUAGUUGAUUGCUGCUUGGUGAAUCUUGAAAAGAUUCAAAGCAUUUUAUCACUUCUUAGACAGAAAUUUUUCCUUUCAGAUGUCAAUCAGUUCUGAAUUUAGAUAAAUUCAGAUUAGCUAAUAUAGCUUGUAGAUCUUUUCACGUGAUCAAGCCAAUUUUGUGUUCAACUUUUGGAUGGUUGGCUUUUAGGGUUUGUUUUUCAAUAAACCCUACUUGGUGUUAGGAGACAGAAUAAGAAGCAGAUGUGAUUGUUCUUCCCAUUUUUUAUAGUGGAAUAUUCUAUCUUUUGACAGAUCUUGUCUGUCCAGAUUUUCAACAGAUAUUACUUGUAAAGCUUUACAAGCUUUUAGUCAUGUCUAACCGUGUAGAGUUAGCAAUUUAGGGUUUUUUCAACACUCCAUGACACAUGUCUUGGAGAGUCAACUCAUUUAGAUUUAUCUAGGGAUUUUGUUUAAUAGAUCUAAGUUAAGAUUUGCUUUUGAAGAACUAUUUAUUUAACUAUUUAGAUCAUACCUUUUUAGUAGUUCAACACAACUUUUACACUCUUCCAUGCUUAGACUUUUGCAGCCGAUGUUUUGGACUUCUGUAGGUUAAGAGUGAUGUGUGUAGAGCAGGUGCAAGAUUUGCUUUUGCCCGAGCUGCUUGCAGAAAGUUGUCGUUGCUUGUUGUGUUGAAUAUGGUGGCUGAAUCUUCAAUACCGAGGUAGCUAGAGUGUGCAGGUAUGAGCUUUGGAAGUUCUUUCACCAAGGUCGAGGAUGUUUGGAUUUUCAAGAUCAAGAAGAUUUGUCAUACUGAGUUUUGACAAUUGGCAUGUUUGCCUGUCCCACCUGUUCUUAGGAUAGAUAUAUAGAUUUGCAUAUUCAUGUAAAUUCGUGGUGACAUGGCAUGAGUCAAUAUUUUUUUUGUGUUCAUCUUGUAUGCAUACUCAUGACAUAUUGAAUUGUUUGAAAUUUUCAAGCAUGUAUUGCACAACUCAUAUGUAGGUAGAUUUAUAUGCAUAUGUUUAUCAAUACAUGAAACAUGCAGGUAUAUAUAAGCUUAGUUUUCAUGCAUUGAUUAUAAGUUAACGAUUUAGUAAGAAAAGGCUUAUGAUUGCAUGUCAUAUAGCUUAAAAGAUUCAUAACAUUAUUCAAAGAUAAUCAAGUGAUAUAGGAUUUAUAAUAUAUGUAUGAGCUAAAUAAUUAUACACGUAAGUCAAAACCAGCUGUUUGACUAUCAUGUAUCAUGCAUGCAUAUGAUUCAUUUUCUUAUAGAUUCAUAGAUAAGCAUUAGCAUGCAUUUAUAAGAUAAGUCAUAGUAUUAUGCUAGACUUAAAACAUAUGUGUUCAUACCUUUAAGGACCAUAUGCGUGUACAUGCAUAAUAUUGUAACAUUUAUGUUGCUAGGCAUGCAUUUAUCAGAUAGUCAUAUGCACAUAGAUCUAUUUAGACUUUAUUUGGGAUACAAAACAAUCUAGGACAUAGUUGCCUUGAUAUGUGUUGAUCUCCAAUGAUUUGUUUUGCGGGAUCUGAGUUUCUGAGAUGCCUGUUCAGAGAUGAUUGUUUUCUGAUCAUCUCUUUCUAUGGGAGUGUCAGAUGGUAUGACUUUAAUUCCUCCUUCUUCUGAGCUAGGAGCAGAGAUGGACUCAUCAAAGUUAAUGUGUAGGGAUUCUAUCAAAUUUUAUAGAAUAAGCAUUGCUUUUUCUAUGUCCUUUGGCAAUGAUAACUCCCUCAGAGUUAGUGAUAGAACAAUUGUACUACACAACCAAUAUCAUAUAAUUGACCUAUGCUAAUCAGGUUGUGUUUUUAGACCAUUUACUAAGUAUACAUUUCUUAAGAAUGGUUUUUCUGUAUUUCCUACAUUACCCCUACCUACUAUUGUACCUUAACCUUUUUAGUAGGAGGUAAGUCUAUCAAGUCGUUUAGUAGACUUGAUUUCCCGGUCAUGUGCCUUGUGCAUCCUUUGUCGAACAUCCAUUUUGACACAUGCUUUACCUGAAAGAGUUAAAAAAUUCUUUGGUACCCAUACUAAGUUGGGUCCGAAUGGAUUAGUAUACCUAAUUUGUGUAUAAUCUCUUAGCUCAUCCUUAGUCAUCCAUUUUUGUUUUGGACGAUUCAUCUUAAAGUGAUUCUUCUUUUUCUUAAGAUGAAUGGACUUUGUAUUGCUAUAAUGAUUAUUGUAUCUUGAAGUAUGCAAAGGUUUUUUAUAACUAGAUUCCCUUACAAAAUGAUCAUUAUAAAUUGUAGCAUUUAGGGUUUUGUUACUAGGUGCAUUUGACUCAAACCCUAAGCCAAAUUUCUUUUGACCCAAGUUUGAGCCUUGCAAUAAAUUAUUUAACUUUGAUGAACUAUUUGAGAAUUUCUGAAGAACACUAUUUUUCUCAUUCAUUCUUUUAAUUUCUAGUUGCAUGCUAUUAUAUUUUUCAGAUAAUUUUUUCAAAGUUUCUUCAUGCUCAAGUAUGAGUUUAUCCUUAGAUUCUAUUUCAGUCUUAAGCAUGAUAGUUUCUUUUUCUUUAUUUCUAAUGGUUUCCUCAAAAUUAUCUAUUUUUAGUUCUAACAAUUCAACCCUAUCAUUAUUUUCAUUUGAUUCUUUUUCUUCAGAUUCUAGAAUAUCAAGUAAUUCAAAAUUUUGACUCUUAAGUGUUUUAAUUUUUUCAUUUCCCUUUUCUAUUUUACUUAAGAGUUUAUGAUUUUCUUCUUUUAAUAGCAUGCAUUCUUUUUGUGAUUCUUCUAAUUCUAUUGAAUGAUCAAUAUGUGGUCUAUUCAUGCAUUCUAGUUUUAAUGAUUUAUUUAAUUUUUUCUCAGCUUUAUAUUUAUCCAUUAAUUCUAGAAAUGCUUCUUCUAAUGAAUUAAAUCUAGUAUUUGUAAAAUUUACCUCAGAGUCGUUCUCAUGAGCCAUGAGGCAGUCUUCUUGGUCUGACUCAGAAUCUGACCAGUGUACUUGAUGUGCUUUUUCUUUCUUUAGUAGAGGACAUUCAGGUCUGAUGUGUCCCGGUUUGUUGCACUCGUAGCAGAUGGGCUCCUUUGAGUCUGCUUUGAGGUCUUUACUCACCCUUUUGUCGGAAUUCUGAUAGUCUAUCCUUGAAUUUCUCUUUUCUUUCCUUUUUAUGAGAUAUCUCUUUAGAUGUUUUGUGAGCAUUGCUACGUCAUCAUCAGAUGAUUCAUUUUCACUUUGACUUUUAAGAGCAAUGUCCUUUUUCUCCUCUUUUGCUCUAGAGACAAAUCUUUCUUCUUCAUAGGCCAUCAGAUUUCCGCAAAGUUCUACCACUGUGAGUUUGUUCAGAUCAUGAGAUUCUUGGAUAGCAUUCCUCUUUGAGUAGUAUUUGUCUGGAAGGCUUCUUAGAAUCUUGCUUACUUGCUUUUUCUCAGUUACUGGAUCCCCUAAUCCAGCCAGAUCAUUGACUAUUUGUGAUAGUCGAAUGUUCAUUUCUGCGAUAGUCUCAUCUUCCCUCAUAGAGAAUCUUUCGAACUGAGAAGUGGCAUGUAGCAGCUUAUUUUCCUUGACAUGGGAGGUUCCUUCAUGUAAAUCCUCCAAAGCUUUCCAGACCUUGUGUGCUGUAUCCAAGCAUCGAAUUCUGCUGUACUCAGAUUCAUUGAGAGCACCAUAUAAUGCAUUCAAUGCUCUUGAGUUGUUGUUUUCCUUGAGGAUAUCCAAGGCUCCCCAAGUCUCUUCUUUGCUUGUUGGAAUCUCAUAAUCUUCCAAUACUAUUUUCCAGACUCCAUUGUUGAUUGACUUUAAGUAUAACUUCAUCUUAUUCUUCCAGAAGUCAUACUUUACUCCAUCAAACCUGGGAGGUUUGUUUGAUGCAAGACCCGUACUGUUUUCACCAUUUGAAGCCAUAGUUGUUGUUGUAAGAUGUUAGUCUGACUUCAACGGAACUUGGCUCUGAUACCACUUGUUGGAUCGUGAUCCGAGGCUAUAGGGGGGGUGAUAGCCUCUUUUCGAUUUAUACAGGUUGAUAGCGGAAUUACCUGUAAACACUUAAUAAACAAAUGGUUGAACAGUAAUGAUAUAAAGAUAUUGUUAUUUUAAUUGAUAUAGUAAUGUAAGUAUUACUCUGUGAAGCUUACUACAGUAUAUGAAUACUGAGUCAACUUUCUUGAUAAUGUUUCAAACACAACUGUAGUAUAUGAAUACUAAGUUAUAUUUAAAACACAAAUUAUACUGUAGAGUAAAUGACCAGAUAACUGGAUAAAUUGAUACGUAAAUAAAUGACCAGAUAACUGGAUAUAUUGACAAGUAAAUAAGUGACCAGAUAACUGGAUAAUUUGAUAAACAAGUAAGUGACCAGAUAACUGGAUAAAUAUGAUAAGUAAUAAAGAUUAAAACAAUGAAUGUAACCUCAGAUAGUUGACCAGAUAACUGGAUGAGGGAUCUGCGUAAAGUAGUCAACCUCUGUUCUUGACCAGAUAAUUGGAAGAGGGAUCUUUUUAAUUAGGUGUUGUUAUUAAGCAAAAGAUAGAACUAAAAUUAACAGAAAACAACACAAGAGAUUUAUACUGGUUCACCCAAACACGGGCUAGUCCAGUCCCGACCCACUGCCGGAUUUCACUCGCCUAAAGGUAAUGGCAAAACCUUUUCUAAGCUUUAAGGCUACUACGCUUAGGAACCAGUCUUUUACGGGUAGACUCACACCUUAGAGUAUUACAGGGCACUCUUAAGAACCUCUAACUUUUACGGGUAAGUUAGUACCUUAGAGUAUUCAAGGAACUCUUAAAAACCUUUCUAAGCUUUAAGGCUACUACGCUUAGGAACCAGUCUUUUACAGGUAGACUCACACCUUAGAGUAUUAAAGGGCACUCUUAAGAACCUCUCUAAGCU
This 9876-nucleotide long non-coding RNA is filed under the name Zostera marina. RNAcentral's name for it is "long non-coding RNA (ZMAR_LNC003214)". Lineage: Eukaryota; Viridiplantae; Streptophyta; Magnoliopsida; Alismatales; Zosteraceae. The record is from RNAcentral.